AGGCUUAAGACAUUUGAGUUCUGGGUCUCACUCUGAGUAGUGUCUGUUCUUAUCCUUGCAGCUAAUUCUGUUUCUAUAACAUCUUCUUUAAAUACUGUAUUUUUCAAUUCUUGCACCAAUAACAUAGCUUGUCUGUUCAAUAUUAUCUCUUCAAUAUUGUUUACUACACAAAUAAAAAAUUAAAACACAUUAUACAUAAGAAAA
This 204-nucleotide long non-coding RNA is filed under the name Mus musculus (house mouse). Its description in RNAcentral is "predicted gene, 57232". RNAcentral also lists the same sequence under 1 other name. The record is from RNAcentral. Lineage: Eukaryota; Metazoa; Chordata; Mammalia; Rodentia; Muridae.